Molecule: long non-coding RNA, 501 nt
Filed under: Phoenix dactylifera (date palm)
Lineage: Eukaryota; Viridiplantae; Streptophyta; Magnoliopsida; Arecales; Arecaceae
Description: long non-coding RNA (PDAC_LNC012895)
Source: RNAcentral
UUAAGUCCAAUUGAGUUGGGUCUGAAUCCAAUUAAGCUGAGUUAGUCUCAGCAAACCCAAAUUGAAUAUGAAUCAAGCCCAAUUUAAACCAGUUUAACUAAAUUGAGACCAAAUUGACUUCGGAUUGAUCCUGAUUCAAGCCUAAAAAGCCACAUUGAACCUGGACCAAAAUUAAACCUAAUUGGACUUGAAAUUGAGCCUAAUAACCUAAUCAGAAGACCAAAUUGAUCCGAAAGGGCUUGACCCAAUCAGGAACCAACCUAAUUCUUUAAUUAAAGACCCAAUUGACCUACGUGAACCCAAUCUGGUUCUAAAUCGAGCCCAAGGGCUCUAAAUUAGGUACAUUGGACUUGAGAUCUAAACAAGUAAAUUCAUGUUAUGAUAAAUUAGAAAAUUAUGAAAUAAAUAGAGAAUAGUGUGACCCCUAUGUGAUUUAUUUAGGUGAUCAAGGAUUUGUCACCCGAACGUAAGAAAUUGGAAAGCAAAUUGCAGUAAGUAACC